AAUGCAAAAACCAGUCGCGCUCAAGUUUGCCGCGGGAAGACUCUGCGAAAAUGGAGAGAUCUGAGCGGAGAGUACCUAUUUGGCUAAGUUUUUACCUUGAAAAUACGGAAUAUAUGGACAGUCGUGAACUCAUCCCGUCUUUAUAAUACAACGUACUCAUUCGUCUAUCCUUCUCAACCUAGCCGUACAUUGUUUUGAGAAUCUAACUUGAAUUUUCCGUCAACGAUGUCGACCAAACCCAAGCCUCGAUCAUGCUGUGCACGUGCAUCCCAAAAGACUACACGGGCUUUCGAGCACUGGGCCGGCCGGCCUGGCGCCUAGCCCUCGCUUGCCGCAGGCUGUCUCCUGCAUGUGGACCGUGGGCCAUGGGCAUGGUGGUACUACUGAGUGACUGGGAGUCCUUUCAGUUUCAUCACUAAGUGUCUACCGAGGAGACUACUAGGGCGUGAAACAGGCCCAAAACGAAGAACAACAACAACAACAACAUUUCAUCAUUCUUUUCAUUUUACGGGAGUUUGACCUUAUCGAUGACACUGUCUGCAGUCUGCACAAAUAUCGAUUUUACUUUUAUUGAAGGUUUGCUUCCUCCUUUCCGAAUGACCAUCUCGGCUACAAGUGCUAUGGCCAGCACUGACUCUGAUGGACAAAUCAGGCCUCCAUUGUCCUUGAUGCGGAUUAGUUGAAGACGCUGGUCUUGGUACUGUUUCUCCUUAUCGACCAAUGCUGCUUUGCAUUCUUCACAGUACUGGUGAUACAAUAUAAAAAGAAAUUUCAAACCCUGCGAUAUAUGCUGAAAUGUUUUCUUGGAAUGUACUAAGUCCAGCGUCGGUGUUGUCCGUGGUUUCGUUCUCGUCUUCAUCUGAAGAAUCAAUGUAUGUGCUGUCACUGAUGUUAUCCCCUGUUGGGUCAUGUUCAUCUUCAUGUAAUUCUGCAUCUACUUUUACUUGUGUCCCCAUGGCCUCAAGAAAGGAAGUUGCGUUUCCAGAAUCACUGAUUCAGGAUCGUCAAAGAAUCGCUCUGCCAGCGAGAUAAAUCCAUCCAUCGCCAGACACAGUCCAAUGAUAGGCGUUCCACGGUUACUAGAUGCGACGGAAGUGCCAUCUAUUAACUUCAUUAUGAGGAAUCUUGAUUGGGAAGAAAAGAAGAGUAACAACGGCAUGGAGCGAUCUAUGGUAUCAUCAUCUAGACAUCUACUAUUGGUAAAUCAACGUUAGCGAUGCUCUAUAGGUUAUAUUGACAACAUAAAUGUGAAAAUAGCAACCAUUGAAAACAACACCAACCUUUUCUGUACCAUUGAAUAUGAGCUCCUCUUUCUCACCAAGUAGAUUCCUCAAAAGCUUCAAAUUGUGGCAAACAUCAGGAAUGUAUGUGACAGGAUGACCAUUGGCUGGAUGCGGGAAUUCACCUUUGAGGUUCUUCGGGUCUAAGUUUGUUCCCAGCAUAGUCAUGGUUGAUUUAUUGACGGCAGCUCCAUCGCAAACGAUGGCAUCUACCUGAAUGCCAUUUUCAUACAAACGGAUCAGACAUUCCUGUAUAAGCGCUGCCUGUAGAGAUGCAGUGAGCUUGUUGAUUAAGAAAUAGCCAACUGUAAGUUUGAUGUGGCAGUUCAUAGCAACUAUCAUAAAAGCAAGGGCUUGUGUUGCUGGUGUUGGGGUUUCUCCUUCACAUUUGGCAUUCCCAAUCGACGUGAAGCCAUUGUUGACAUCAUUGAUCUUGUCGUAUUGGAUCUGUUUCUUUAUGGACAUGGCAUCGAGCAUCAGCGACCAGUGCAAUUUUCUUGAGGAACUUUCAUUAAUGUAUUUCAGUGUGUUAAUUGAUUCUUCAGUAAAGCCAGGUAGACCAUCAACGCUAGCCAGCAUCUUUCUCAGAGUAACGUCUGACGGGAUACUGAAUAUCGUUCUAAGGUACUUAUAACAUUUAGGUGAAAGAUAAUGGAGUGUAAGGCAGAGGUUCAACAGUUCUGGAGAAUACCUGCGUCCCGAAUCUCUUCCUCUGUUCUUCUCCUCAUUGUUCACCAAUAGGUCAUAUGAAUCCCCAGGAAUCUCAUCAAGGGUUGUUUCGAUUACACUCUUUUUCACUCCGUAGUUUUCCAAUGUUGUCUUAAGGUCCUGAUAAUUCAAUGAGAAAAUAGAGCAGUUUUUUUUUUAAUGCAGCUACCCAUAAAAAGGAAAAAAUUGAAAGUGUGAAAGUGCACUUUAGUCUUUGACUGCAAUAUAUGAUGCCUUCAGUUUAAUGUGGGGAAAGAACUGUUUAUAUGUAAUGUUCUAAAUUUUAAGUACUUGACAAUGCAUUUUAUGAUAUCUUUGAUAUGUCAAAACAAGAAAUAUCACUGAUGAUAAUUAAUAUCUCGCCCUAUGCCAUUACCAUGCCCCCCUGGCCUAGAUAUGGUUAAAAACUGAGAAAGUAAUUAGCGACUGAUUUUCCAUUUCAAAAAAUGGUCUUUUCCGUUUCUGAAAAUCUGCAAUUCUGUUUCAACUUGAUCUAAAAAUGGAUAUUCGAUAUUGUCACUCAAAAUGUACACAACAAAAACCUGUAUUUUGUUUUGCAAAGGUGAAUUCCAUUAAUUUUUACAUGUAAAGUAUAAGAACGAAACAGAAUUUCUGUUUUAUUUACCGGUAAAACGGAAAAUCACUGUCCCUAUGUAGUUGACCGUCAUGAUUGGAGGGGGUAUGAAAAAGUGGGGACUUUGUAUCAUAGACAGUAUAAAUGAAUACUCUGAUUAAAAGUAACUUGUAUUAAAGGGAACUCCUGGCUGAAAAAUAAUCUAAGAAAAAUUAACUGAAUAAUUUUUAAGUUUAGCCAAUUUUGAAACACCAGUUAUAUGCACAUAAUUAUGAUUGAUAAAUUUGCAAUGCAUGUAGGUGGGACGAUGAAAAGGGGAAAGUGUAACAAAAUAUGUUCCAGCAGUGUUGCAUACUAAAUCAUGAGUCAAUUUUUUUUUCAUUCUUGGAAGAUAAUUCUGAAUAAAUAUAAUUUCAAUUCAUAUUAUGAAAUUUUUCAAGAGAAUAAGUUGGGAUAUAUGCCUUAAGGACGUGCAUAGAACUGUUUCAUAACUUGAAAGUUUGUUAUGCCUUAUUAUAUCCAAAAUGAUUAGACUUGUAGUGUUUUGUUUGUCAGAUUUUACUAAAUUGAUCUGUUCAAAUAAUCCUACAUGAAUUUUCAGCCUGGAGUACGCCUUUAAGAGGUGUUAAUUUUAACUUACUUUCAACGACCGAAUCUUCAUGGAUUUAUUAACACUUUCCAUCUGCGCCUUCCGUUUCUUUGCUUUCUCUAUCUGAAGUGCAAAUUCAAGUUUUCUUUUUGUUGACCCAGGACUGUAUGCAUAUGUGUGGUCUACUGCAGAUAUGCAAGGACGAACUGGAGGUGUGUUGGGAAGUUGAAUUUCAUUUGUGGAUGGUACCUGAAUUAAUGUAAAGUUUGAAUUUGACAGUCGUAAGGAAAGGGUGAAAUUUUGCUAAUGUAGGGUCGUACUUUGACCUUUCAGAGAUUUUGAGAUUUAUCUGUCAAAGAUCCCUUAGAUUUUUAAGAGAAAGAUGAAUGAAUCCAGAAAAUAUUUUGAACAAAAGUCAAAUCAAUUGCAAAUCUUUGUAAGACCGGACCCUGAUCUUGAAGACUGUUGAAAUAUUUUGAUCAAAUGGCAGCCUAAGCAGAAAGUUAUUUGCUGUGUAUUAGUCUAUUAUUUGGCUGUCCAAACAGGGGAAAGAAUUUAAGAAAUCUUCACCUAGUAGGAUUGCAUCUUUAGCCAAGAGUUUGCAAUCAAUGUAUAUUGGGGUGGAGAUAUGAUUAAAUUUGAACUUUUGCAAAUUAUUUCAGUUACAGCAUUUAAAAUGCCAGAAAUAUGUACUGAUCAGGUGGAGAGAUUUUUGUAAGGUGAAUCUUGUGCUAUGUGAUAUUCACCUGUGUGUAAACCGUACAAACAGCUUUAUGACACACCAGGGGCCCAUUGCAUAAAACUUUUUACCUGAGAAAACUCAUGUUUUUACCGGAGAUUUUGCCCUGUGUUAAAGUCAAUGGCAGAAAUCAGACUAACCUUAGUUUUAAGUUUUUACCAGAGUUUUCUCAGGUAAAAAGUUUUAUGUAACAGGCCCCAGGUUUCUAGCCAUGGCACUUGGGUUAAAAUUUGCACAAAUUUUUUGAAAAGUAGAAUCAAAUGCUGAAUAUGUACCAAUUCAUUUGUAUUUACAGAUAGCAAAGUCAUCGUUAUAGGGCAAUGCAAAGUCUGCAUUCAUUAUUUUACUGAAGUCUAUCACCAAUGAUCUAAAGUAAAAUUAUUUUGUUUAAAGAAAAUUUAACCUGUACAUGACAUGCAUAAUAUGAAACACUUAUUUCAUCAUUCAUCCCUGAAGGUGGUAGAUGCCUAAAGUUGCUCUAUUGAAAUUGAAAAACAUUUGGCAAACAUGCAUUACUUGGGUAAUCACUUCUUUUGCAUUCCUGAUAUAUUCAAAGUUGUGUUCUCCCUUUGAUUUGUUUUAAAUAUUUCUGCAUUUUGCGCAUUUUUAAAAUUCUAAUGUUAAUAUUACAAAACAACAUUUUUUCAGGGAGAGGGGGGGUGGGGGCAAUGAAUGUAGUAAAUACUUACAUGCACCUGUAAUGAAGGUACUGCUGUAGGUAGCAAGGAUCUUCUUUUCUCUGUAACGGAGUAAUCUUCCUUCUUAAAGUGCUUUGAGCAAACACAUAAUCGUGUUACUGGGUCAUCCGUGCGUCCUAUGAUGUUAAGCCAUUGUUCGCGGAUGCUGGGCUUAGUAGGUAGGCUUUGGAAAAACAUAGUUCUUUAACUAGUAAUGUAGUAUUAAACAUCAAGAUUUAUCUACACUAGAAUACAACAAGUGCAUCUGACUUUUUUUCUUCAUCAACCAUGAUAACUAAGGAUUUUUUGUUGUUGGAUAGAUCAACUUGUUCCUAGUGCAUGUAUCCAUGGUUUAUUUUCAUUUGGUCCAAUGCCAGCUCGUCUACUAUCAUUUGGUCUACCAACAGUUUGUCCUACAUCCACAUGGUCUAAUUGCCAUUUCUUCCAUAUACCAUUUCGUGUAAUUAGAUUAAGUGUUCAUUGGGCAAAAUUAAUGAAAAUAAAAUAAGUAUUACAUAAGCUGGUUAUGUGGUCAUAGACCAACCGAUGAUUAGACGAAAUGACCAACUGGUUAUUGUAUAUAGCGGUAGCGAUUGCAUGAAUGGCCUGCACGUCUAUAUAUAGCCUCUUUGAGGUGUUCAAGUGCAGUAUUUACAAGACAAGGCAGCACGAUUUGUAUCUAACAAGUAUUACGCAUAAGUAGUGUUACCAAAAUGAUGAGUAUUCUAAAAUGGGAUACUUUCCAAGACAGGAGAACAAGUAGCCGGCCUAUAUUUUUGUUUAAAGAAAUACACAAUAUAACUCCAUGUAAAGCAUCCUCCAAAGAAAUACACAAUAUAACUCCAUGUAAAGCAUCCUUUAAACCAACAACCAGAAUAACCAGACAGUCUCAUGACUUAAACUUCAAUGUAAUCAGAGCAAAUAAGGAUUGCUACAAAUAUUCCCUCUACCCUCGUACAAUUGUAGAGUGGAGUUCCCUUUCUCCCACUACUAAAAAUGCACCCGAUCUAGCUGCAUUUAAGAAACAGCUGAGCAAAAACAUGCUAAUUAAAAGUCAAAAUGGUUGUUAGACGAAAUGUUGAUAGAUGGGAUGGCAUUAGGCUAUAUGAAGGUAUGUGGCGAGUGGACGAAUUGGCAAUUUUCCAUAUCCAUAUACUAGGAGUGAUUAGAUUUUAGGUUCCUGAGGUCAAAAGUCCUAGAGGUCAUAUGUCCAAAACUAUCUUUCUCCACUUCAAAAUUUAUCGUGUUUACCUAAAUGACAGUGAUCUAUUUAGAGGUCAUUAUAGUUUUGGUAAAUUACCCCCCCCCCCCAAAAAAAAGGGAAUAUUGUAUCAUUCAUGAUGUGGACUCCAUCCCCCUUCUGAUAAAAUUCAUUAUAAAAUAUAUAUGGUGAUAGCAAACAUUGCAACUGUUACUGAACCAUUAAACAAUUAUUAAUGUUUGAAAUCUUGAAUUAUAUAGAUAUGGAUAAUAAAUUAUUGAAUAUGAUUUUAUAA
Lytechinus pictus (painted urchin) is the source of this 6063-nucleotide long non-coding RNA. RefSeq lists it as uncharacterized. Lineage: Eukaryota; Metazoa; Echinodermata; Echinoidea; Temnopleuroida; Toxopneustidae. The record is from RefSeq and is a predicted model, not a curated record. The transcript is spliced from 5 exons.